RNAcentral lists this microRNA precursor (67 nucleotides) under Bombyx mori (domestic silkworm). Its description in RNAcentral is "mir-2774 microRNA precursor family". It matches the Rfam family "mir-2774 microRNA precursor family". The record is from Rfam by way of RNAcentral. Lineage: Eukaryota; Metazoa; Arthropoda; Insecta; Lepidoptera; Bombycidae.
ACAACAUACGUACCAUCGGUCUACCGAGCAAUUUCAUCCGCUCGGUAAAAGAUCUUCCUUCUGUCGU